Schistosoma mansoni is the source of this 48-nucleotide non-coding RNA. The record is from Rfam. NCBI's taxonomy places the organism in Eukaryota, Metazoa, Platyhelminthes, Trematoda, Strigeidida, Schistosomatidae.
AUCCAACUGAUGAGUCCGGAAUAGGACGAAACGUGCGUCAAACUGUAU